GACGAACGCUGGCGGCGUGCCUAAUACAUGCAAGUUGAGCGCUGAAGGUUGGUACUUGUACCAACUGGAUGAGCAGCGAACGGGUGAGUAACGCGUGGGGAAUCUGCCUUUGAGCGGGGGACAACAUUUGGAAACGAAUGCUAAUACCGCAUAAAAACUUUAAACACAAGUUUUAAGUUUGAAAGAUGCAAUUGCAUCACUCAAAGAUGAUCCCGCGUUGUAUUAGCUAGUUGGUGAGGUAAAGGCGCACCAAGGCGAUGAUACAUAGCCGACCUGAGAGGAUGGUCGGCCGCCUUGGGACUGAGACACGGCCCAAACUCCUACGGGAGGCAGCCGUAGGGCAUCUUCGGCCAUGGAUGAAAGUCUGACCGAGAUGCGCCGAGUGAGUGUAGAGGGUUGCCGGAUCGUAAAACUCUGUUGGUAGAGAAGAACGUUGGUGAGAGUGGAACGAUCAUCAAGUGACGGUAACUACUCAGAAAGGGACGGCUAACUACGUG
This 497-nucleotide ribosomal RNA is filed under the name uncultured bacterium. Its description in RNAcentral is "partial 16S ribosomal RNA". It matches the Rfam family "Bacterial small subunit ribosomal RNA", at positions 28 to 507 of the family's 1533-position model. The record is from RNAcentral.